Long non-coding RNA from Sceloporus undulatus (fence lizard), 1075 nucleotides. RefSeq lists it as uncharacterized. The transcript is spliced from 2 exons. The record is from RefSeq and is a predicted model, not a curated record. Lineage: Eukaryota; Metazoa; Chordata; Lepidosauria; Squamata; Phrynosomatidae.
AGGAUCAUUUGUACAGUGAGGAUGGAACCUAAAACGCUACCAGCAUCUGGCUUAAGUGCUGAUGUAGCAAAGCCAUACAUUGUGCUUACCAAAAAGUUACUUCCAUUGAGGCAGGAGAAUUAUCUAGAAAGGACUGUUUUCUCAUGAAAAUGAUUCUCUCCCAGACCAGGCGCAAUCUUUAUCCAUCCUCAAUUAUCCCUCAUUUUCAGUUGCUUUUACAAUAUCCGAGUUUCUCUCUCUGCUUUCCAAUUUCUCCCUUCGUCCUCAGUUUACUUCCAAUCCCAGGAUCCUGGCAACCUCCUGACCUGACCAUAAGAGCUGCCCAAGAGUGGGAUAGACUGCUUCAGCAGCUGGUGGACUCUCUUCCCUUGGAGAUUCUGACGCCCGAGGACCACAAGGAAAAUGCACAGACAGCCAUUGACGGAGUUUUCAUUUAGAGAGAGCCCACAUUGCACACUUAUACCAGUUUGAUGCCAUUUUAACUGCUGGGGUUCUCACCAAUGGAAUCCUGGGAUUGGUAGUUUUGUUGAGGAACUUUGCAUUCUUUGCUAGUGACUCCUAGAAAAGGCUAUGGCUUGGGGGAGCACUCUAGACAGGGUGACCAGAUGUCCUCCUUUUCCAGGACAUGUCCUACAUGUCAAUCUGCAGUCCAGGGGGAAUUUCAAAAUAUCCUCCAUUCUGAGCACAACUGACAAGCCUGAAUUGAUGUUUAUAUGAGUGUUUAGCUUUAUCUUGGAGCUUUUAUUUUGUAAUACCUGCCAUUUUUUCCCUUGAAUGCCCUACAUUUUGUAGUGCCUUGUCCUCCUUUCCAGUGAGGUGGACCUCUAGUCCCCCUGACUCUAGAGAAGUACCCUAUGAACUGCAAAUCCCAGGAUCCUCUAGUUUUAAAUGGUACCCAUCUCCUGUAAUGCAUAGUCUAGAUGCAGAAGCACACCAGAGCCAUUUAUUUCCUUCUGUAAUUCAUGGCUCACAGUUUUUGGGAAUGCCAUUUGGCAGCGGGAUCGUUUUCUUCAUAACCUUUACCUGUCAUUAAGGCAAUGUCAGCUACAAAUAAAAAUGUUUUCUUUUAACAAAA